UUUAAGUGCAGUUAUGGGUUUCUAUGUCCAACGUUUGAUCAUCCGUCUUGUUUAAUUUUUCUUAUGAUUAGUAUUUUUAUUGUUAUUAAAUGAUAAAACAUGAAUAUCACUUUAUGCAUGACUUAUUAUUUUUAUUUUUUCAUAAAAUUUUCAAGUAAGACAGAACAGAUACACUUAAAAUGGGACGGAGGGAGCACUAUUG
Molecule: microRNA precursor, 202 nt
Organism: Oryza rufipogon (brownbeard rice)
Lineage: Eukaryota; Viridiplantae; Streptophyta; Magnoliopsida; Poales; Poaceae
Rfam family: MIR812 microRNA precursor family
Source: Rfam